Acanthopagrus latus (yellowfin seabream) is the source of this 420-nucleotide long non-coding RNA. RefSeq lists it as uncharacterized. The transcript is spliced from 2 exons. The record is from RefSeq and is a predicted model, not a curated record. Lineage: Eukaryota; Metazoa; Chordata; Actinopteri; Spariformes; Sparidae.
CCUCAUACCCUUGGAUCAAAAUGAACAUGAUUUUCUGUGACAAGACAUCAAAGAUAGAGAGGCAGUGAGAAGGCCACACAUUGAUCACAGCCAUGUUGAAGGUUACUGUGGUUAUCACAUAAGAGUAUACUGACUGGAGCCAUAUCUGUCUGGUACGGUAACAGCUCCUGUGGGGACUGACGAGCCCUGCAGAGGGUGGUGAGGACUGCUGAGCGGACCAUGGGUACCACACUUCCCCUUCUGCAUGACUUAUACACCAAACGCUGUACCAACAGUGCCAGAAGGAUUAUCAAGGAUCCACAUCACACCUGCACUGUCAUAAAACACGCACAGAGAGGAUGAGGAACAGUUUUUUCCCUGCAGCAAUCAGAGCCCUGUACUCUGCACUCUGAACAAAAAAAAUAAAUACAUAAAAAAAAG